This is a long non-coding RNA of Carya illinoinensis, 573 nucleotides long. RefSeq lists it as uncharacterized. NCBI's taxonomy places the organism in Eukaryota, Viridiplantae, Streptophyta, Magnoliopsida, Fagales, Juglandaceae. The transcript is spliced from 3 exons. The record is from RefSeq and is a predicted model, not a curated record.
CGGACCCGGUUACGGAUCCGGUUUUAUAACCAGAUAUUCGUAACCGGUUUUAAUUUUAAAAACAAAACACUUCAGACUUCACAGUGUAUUCACACGAUAAUCACGAGGACCUAGACAGAGAGCUCGACGAUCCUCUCCCCCACCCCCCCAGCGAAAUCAUAAACUGUUGUUCUCAUGGAUCCGUCGCCGCGGGUAAUUGGGCCGUCGGUGACUAUAGUGGCUACCGUCUUCUCCCAAGUUUUUCUCGUUACUUGAGUUCGAAGCUCAGUGUGGCUUCAAUUCAAAUCUCAUCAUAUUCCAGAAAUUAUUCAAGGUAUUACCAUUCUUAUGGAGACUCAAUCCAGCAGUUAUGUGGAAGAUAUGUGGAAGGAGAUGAUGCUGUAGAUCCUCCAUCUGAAGAACAAACAAGAGGAGGGGAAGAUUGUGAUCAUUCUUUUGUCUUGAAGGAUGAUCUUUUUUUCUUUUCUUUUUUAUCGGUUAAUGUAUUAGUUUAAUUAGCUGUGAUGUAUUAGUAUUUAUUUUAUUCUUUAUAAAUUUAUGUUUUGCAUUGCGAUGUAACAACAAUAUUAUCUA